RNAcentral lists this long non-coding RNA (855 nucleotides) under Homo sapiens (human). RNAcentral describes it as "non-protein coding lnc-FBXO34-1:1". Lineage: Eukaryota; Metazoa; Chordata; Mammalia; Primates; Hominidae. The record is from RNAcentral.
CGGCCAGGCUGGUCUUGAACUCCUGGCCUCCAGAUCCACCUGCCUCGGCCUCCCAAAGUGCUGAGAUUACACCUGUAAUCUCACACCUGUAAUCGGCAGGUGUGAGCCACUGCGCCGGGCUCCUCAAUUGUUUAUACCAAUAUACACUCCCACCAGUAAUGGAAGGCAGUUUAGUUGCUCUACAUCCUUACCAACAUUUAGGGUUGCCAGCCUUUUAGCUGGCACUUUAUCAUGGAGAUAAAGUGGUAAUCACUACUCUUUUUGUUUUUCAUUUUUAUUUAUUUUAAUCAGACACUUAUAUUUAUUCAUCAUGUUGUUUGUUUCAGAAAUUCAUUCUUUUUUUAUUGCUGACUGGUAUUCUACUGUAUUGAUGCACUACGAUGUAUCUGAUUGACAGUUAUGGGUGUUCAUUGUUUCCAAAUUUUGACUAUUAUGAAUAAAGAAGCCCUAAACAUUCACCUAUAGGUCUCUGUGUGGAUAUACUUUCAUUUGCCUAGCAGUGAGAUUGCUGGUUGUAUGGUUUUAUGAAUUGUGUCUCCUUCAAAUUCCUAGAUUGAAGCCUAACCCCUAGUACCCCAAAAUGUGGCUAUAUUUGGAAUAAGAUGCAUGGGUAAUUAGAUUAGAGGAUAAAGACUGCAAGGCUGAUUUUUAAUAAACACUUUAAAGUAUUUACAAAAAAAGUGACCAUCACAAAAGAUACAAGGAAAGGUUGCAAACCACUGGGUUUUGCUUUUACAUUUUUUUUUCUGCAAAUUUUCUACAACAGCCAUAGUUUUCUUUUCUUUUCUUUUUUUUUUUGAGACGGAGUCUGGCUCUGUCACCCAGGCUGGAGUGCAGUGGCGCCAUCUCAGCUCA